This 101-nucleotide microRNA precursor is filed under the name Caenorhabditis sp. 23 AD-2012. RNAcentral's name for it is "mir-233". The stretch from base 11 to 88 matches the Rfam family "mir-233 microRNA precursor family". The record is from RNAcentral. Lineage: Eukaryota; Metazoa; Nematoda; Chromadorea; Rhabditida; Rhabditidae.
UAAAGCGUCUCUCUGUCCCGCUCAUCCUGUUGUUCCAAUAUUCCAACAGCCCAGUGAUUAUUGAGCAAUGCGCAUGUGCGGGACAGAUUGUAUGCUGCUAU